This 560-nucleotide ribosomal RNA is filed under the name Aspergillus flavus. RNAcentral describes it as "eukaryotic LSU rRNA". The stretch from base 183 to 336 matches the Rfam family "5.8S ribosomal RNA". The record is from RNAcentral. Lineage: Eukaryota; Fungi; Ascomycota; Eurotiomycetes; Eurotiales; Aspergillaceae.
CCGAGUGUAGGGUUCCUAGCGAGCCCAACCUCCCACCCGUGUUUACUGUACCUUAGUUGCUUCGGCGGGCCCGCCAUUCAUGGCCGCCGGGGGCUCUCAGCCCCGGGCCCGCGCCCGCCGGAGACACCACGAACUCUGUCUGAUCUAGUGAAGUCUGAGUUGAUUGUAUCGCAAUCAGUUAAAACUUUCAACAAUGGAUCUCUUGGUUCCGGCAUCGAUGAAGAACGCAGCGAAAUGCGAUAACUAGUGUGAAUUGCAGAAUUCCGUGAAUCAUCGAGUCUUUGAACGCACAUUGCGCCCCCUGGUAUUCCGGGGGGCAUGCCUGUCCGAGCGUCAUUGCUGCCCAUCAAGCACGGCUUGUGUGUUGGGUCGUCGUCCCCUCUCCGGGGGGGACGGGCCCCAAAGGCAGCGGCGGCACCGCGUCCGAUCCUCGAGCGUAUGGGGCUUUGUCACCCGCUCUGUAGGCCCGGCCGGCGCUUGCCGAACGCAAAUCAAUCUUUUUCCAGGUUGACCUCGGAUCAGGUAGGGAUACCCGCUGAACUUAAGCAUAUCAAUAAGCG